AGCCGCGGUAACACCGGCAGCUCUAGUGGUAACAAUUUUAUUGGCCUAAGCGUCCGUAGCCGGUUAAUAAGUCUCUGGUGAAAUCCUGCAGCUUAACUGUGGGAAUUGCUGGAGAUACUAUUAGACUUGAGACCGGGAGAGGUUAGAGGUACUCCCAGGGUAGAGGUGAAAUUCUGUAAUCCUGGGAGGACCGCCUGUUGCGAAGGCGUCUAACUGGAACGGUUCUGACGGUGAGGGACGAAAGUUAGGGGCGCGAACCGGAUUAGAUACCCGGGUAGUCCUAACUGUAAACGAUGCGGACUUGGUGUUGGGGUGGCUUUGAGCUGCUUCAGUGCCGAAGGGAAGCUGUUAAGUCCGCCGCCUGGGAAGUACGGUCGCAAGACUGAAACUUAAAGGAAUUGGCGGGGGGAGCACCACAACGCGUGGAGCCUGCCGGUUUAAUUGGAUUCAACGCCGGACAUCUCACCAGAGGCGACAGCUGUAUGAUAGCCAGGUUGAUGACUUUGCUUGACUAGCUGAGGAGUGGUGCAUGG
Molecule: ribosomal RNA, 533 nt
Filed under: uncultured archaeon
Lineage: Archaea
Description: bacterial SSU rRNA
Rfam family: Archaeal small subunit ribosomal RNA
Source: RNAcentral